Molecule: long non-coding RNA, 384 nt
Organism: Mangifera indica (mango)
Lineage: Eukaryota; Viridiplantae; Streptophyta; Magnoliopsida; Sapindales; Anacardiaceae
Exons: 3
Source: RefSeq, a predicted model, not a curated record
GAAAGAAAAAGAAAGAAGAAGAAGGAGAAGAGGAAAUUGAUAGGAAAAUAAGGAUAAGGUGAAGAAAGAGGAAAAUUCAUAAAGAAUUUCCAGCAUCAGUUUUGGAUCUACUCAAAUUUAUUUUACCCCAGACAUGACAGAUUUCAAUCGUUCUACCCAAGUAAGAUUCAGCAUCUCAGAUAUGACAGUUCUUUCUCGCUCUGCCUGUGUUGGGGACAUUCAUCGGGUAUGACAGAUUUCUUCUUGAGAAUAUUAGUAGUGAUGUAUAGCUUAAGUUAUUGUAUUGGAGAGAGGUUCAGAAAUAAAUAAAGAAAAUAAAAAUAUAAGUUGUUGACAACCAGAUCUUGUUUUUAAAGAUAAUAUUUCCUAAGCAUAAUUUUAUCA